UCUUUUUCUACAGUUCGUUCGUCCAACUCCGUGCUUAAGCUUCUGUGCAGGCAGCCCAGCCGGCAGCAGCCAGUGUAUAGCAUCCAGGGGAGCACAGCCACAGGCAAGAGGAAAGGUGUCAAGUAAAGCAAGCGUGCUCCUGGUGGUGUGAUGGAUAGCACGAGUUAUAUACUCUGGCUGCGCAUGGAGAGGAUUCCAUCAUGCCGAGGCCUCUUGCAUGGAUUCCCUUGUUCCUGACGGACGGCUGCUCUCAAGUCGGAGGGUAGUGGGAACGGAACUCGUAAAGGUUUACGACUGCUACUUGCUGAUUUUGUUUUAUUUACAUGGUGGCUGCUUCCAGUCCUUUGACUGGCUAGCUAACUAAAACACCGAAUCUUUGUGAUCUCCCUCCGGCGCACCAAACGGCAUUUGUGGACGUAUCACAGGUACGGCGAGACGAUGAUGAUUCGCCUUGUUGCUUUCUCGCUUUUUUCAAAAGCCUGAUCCAAGGAAGGGGCGGUGAGUGGUGUGAGGUGAAUUUUUCUUCCCCCGCCCCCCUUCUUUCAACCAGGGGUAUCAGGCUGUAUUUGGAGCAACAAGCAAGGUGAAUCUCAUUGAUUUCUCAGGUUUUCUAUUACUUUUCAAACUUUGGGAGCAACAAACAGGGGCCUCUGCUUCCAUAAUGCGGAGUGAAGAAAAUGGCACAUCAGCUCUUUCCUGCGCUUUGGGAGGCAAACGGAGCUCGCUCGAAAAGCCCGUCCGGGUGUAAGCGGGUGAUGGAAUGAGCAGCUCGGAGUUGUUUUAUCCCCUAGAGCUCUGGGGAAAGAACAAGAACAUCUCGGGGCCUGUGAAGGCUAAAUGAUAGCAAUUAUGCGAAAAGAGAAAACUCCUCGCACUCCAACACCAGGUGUGUUAGAGAGCAGCAUCAAAGGCCACCACUUGAGUGUGUUUCCUCCGAAUGGAACCAGAGAGGCCAAGAAGCUCCAUAAAAUCAUCGUCCACCACCAUCACCACCACCACCACCAGUGGCAAAGAAGAAGAAUAGAAUCGCCCAAGAGACGAUUAAAAUACGAAUAUAAUGGAUGUCAUCCUUGAGUUCGUCACCUUCACGUGUCAGCCCUCUUGGCUUUCAUGUGUGAGCCACACGGGGAAUAACCACCACUGGAUCUCCAGUCGUGGCUUUUGGAGACCGCCAUUGCAGAUAUGCAUGAGAAAACCAACAAAAUCCCCAGAGAGAAUUAAUUGAUUCUAUGUCAUCCUUCUACACCUCUUUUUCUUUACAGUUUUCUCUUUUCAUCUUUGUGCAUGUAGCUCUGUAAGAAAUUGGGUUAAG
Selaginella moellendorffii is the source of this 1312-nucleotide long non-coding RNA. RefSeq lists it as uncharacterized. The transcript has 6 exons. NCBI's taxonomy places the organism in Eukaryota, Viridiplantae, Streptophyta, Lycopodiopsida, Selaginellales, Selaginellaceae. The record is from RefSeq and is a predicted model, not a curated record.